UACGUAGGGACCAAGCGUUGUUCGGAUUUACUGGGCGUAAAGGGCGCGUAGGCGGCAAUUCAAGUCAUCUGUGAAAUCUCCGGGCUUAACCCGGAACGGUCAGAUGAUACUGCUUUGCUAGAGUGCGGAAGGGGCAAUCGGAAUUCUCGGUGUAGCGGUGAAAUGCGUAGAUAUCGAGAGGAAAACCUGAGGUGAAGACGGGUUGCGGGGCCGACACUGAAGCUGACAGCGCGAAAGCCAGGGGAGCAAACGGG
RNAcentral lists this ribosomal RNA (254 nucleotides) under uncultured bacterium. RNAcentral's name for it is "partial 16S ribosomal RNA". It matches the Rfam family "Bacterial small subunit ribosomal RNA", at positions 524 to 776 of the family's 1533-position model. The record is from RNAcentral.